CAGUCGCCGCGGUAAUACGAAGGGUGCAAGCGUUAAUCGGAAUUACUGGGCGUAAAGCGUGCGCAGGCGGUUGUGUAAGACAGGUGUGAAAUCCCCGGGCUUAACCUGGGAACUGCGCUUGUGACUGCACAGCUAGAGUAUGGCAGAGGGGGGUGGAAUUCCACGUGUAGCAGUGAAAUGCGUAGAGAUGUGGAGGAACACCGAGGGCGAAGGCAGCCCCCUGGGCCAAUACUGACGCUCAUGCACGAAAGCGUGGGGAGCAAACAGGAUUAGAUACCCCCGUAGUCCCUGUCUCUUAUAC
Molecule: ribosomal RNA, 301 nt
Filed under: uncultured bacterium
Lineage: Bacteria
Description: partial 16S ribosomal RNA
Rfam family: Bacterial small subunit ribosomal RNA
Source: RNAcentral